Molecule: ribosomal RNA, 460 nt
Filed under: uncultured bacterium
Lineage: Bacteria
Description: partial 16S ribosomal RNA
Rfam family: Bacterial small subunit ribosomal RNA
Source: RNAcentral
CCUACGGGUGGCAGCAGUGAGGAAUAUUGGUCAAUGGACGAGAGUCUGAACCAGCCAAGCAGCGUGAAGGAUGACUGCCCUCUGGGUUGUAAACUUCUUUUAUAUGGGAAUAAAAUGUUCCACGUGUGGGAUUUUGUAUGUACCAUAUGAAUAAGGAUCGGCCAACUCCGUGCCAGCAGCCGCGGUAAUACGGAGGAUCCGAGCGUUAUCCGGAUUUAUUGGGUUUAAAGGGAGCGUAGGUGGAUUGUUAAGUCAGUUGUGAAAGUUUGGGGCUCAACCGGAAAAUUGCAGUUGAAACUGGCAGUCUUGAGUACAGUAGAGGUGAGCGGAAUUCGUGGUGUAGCGGUGAAAUGCUUAGAUAUCUCGAAGAACUCCGAUUGCGAAGGCAGUUCACUGGACUGCAACUGACACUGAGGCUCGAAAGUGUGGGUAUCAAACAGGAUUAGAUACCCCAGUAGUC